RNAcentral lists this ribosomal RNA (925 nucleotides) under Salmonella enterica. Its description in RNAcentral is "partial 23S ribosomal RNA". It matches the Rfam family "Bacterial large subunit ribosomal RNA", at positions 711 to 1633 of the family's 2925-position model. The record is from RNAcentral. Lineage: Bacteria; Pseudomonadati; Pseudomonadota; Gammaproteobacteria; Enterobacterales; Enterobacteriaceae.
AGACCCGAAACCCGGUGAUCUAGCCAUGGGCAGGUUGAAGGUUGGGUAACACUAACUGGAGGACCGAACCGACUAAUGUUGAAAAAUUAGCGGAUGACCUGUGGCUGGGGGUGAAAGGCCAAUCAAACCGGGAGAUAGCUGGUUCUCCCCGAAAGCUAUUUAGGUAGCGCCUCGUGAAUUCAUCUCCGGGGGUAGAGCACUGUUUCGGCUAGGGGGCCAUCCCGGCUUACCAACCCGAUGCAAACUGCGAAUACCGGAGAAUGUUAUCACGGGAGACACACGGCGGGUGCUAACGUCCGUCGUGAAGAGGGAAACAACCCAGACCGCCAGCUAAGGUCCCAAAGUCAUGGUUAAGUGGGAAACGAUGUGGGAAGGCCCAGACAGCCAGGAUGUUGGCUUAGAAGCAGCCAUCAUUUAAAGAAAGCGUAAUAGCUCACUGGUCGAGUCGGCCUGCGCGGAAGAUGUAACGGGGCUAAACCAUGCACCGAAGCUGCGGCAGCGACGCUGAUGCGUUGUUGGGUAGGGGAGCGUUCUGUAAGCCUGCGAAGGUGGCCUGUGAGGGUUGCUGGAGGUAUCAGAAGUGCGAAUGCUGACAUAAGUAACGAUAAAGCGGGUGAAAAGCCCGCUCGCCGGAAGACCAAGGGUUCCUGUCCAACGUUAAUCGGGGCAGGGUGAGUCGACCCCUAAGGCGAGGCCGAAAGGCGUAGUCGAUGGGAAACGGGUUAAUAUUCCCGUACUUGGUGUUACUGCGAAGGGGGGACGGAGAAGGCUAUGUUGGCCGGGCGACGGUUGUCCCGGUUUAAGCGUGUAGGUGUGUGUUCCAGGUAAAUCCGGUUCACUUUAACACUGAGGCGUGAUGACGAGGCACUACGGUGCUGAAGCAACAAAUGCCCUGCUUCCAGGAAAAGCCUCUAAGCAUCAGGUA